GACGAACGCUGGCGGCGUGCUUAACACAUGCAAGUCGAACGGUGAAAGCGGAGCUUGCUCCGCUGGAUCAGUGGCGAACGGGUGAGUAACACGUGUGCAACCUGCCCCUGACUUCGGGAUAACUCCUCGAAAGAGGUGCUAAUACCGGAUACGAAUCCUGCAGGCAUCUGCGGGAUUGGAAAGCUUUUCGGUCAGGGAUGGACCCGCGGCCUAUCAGCUUGUUGGUGAGGUAGUGGCUCACCAAGGCGACGACGGGUAGCCGGCCUGAGAGGGCGAACGGCCGCACUGGGACUGAGACACGGCCCAGACUCCUACGGGAGGCAGCAGUGGGGAAUAUUGCGCAAUGGGCGAAAGCCUGACGCAGCAACGCCGCGUGAGGGAUGACGGCCUUCGGGUUGUAAACCUCUUUCAGCAGGGAAGAAGCGAAAGUGACGGUACCUGCAGAAGAAGCACCGGCUAACUACGUGCCAGCAGCCGCGGUAA
RNAcentral lists this ribosomal RNA (483 nucleotides) under uncultured bacterium. RNAcentral's name for it is "partial 16S ribosomal RNA". It matches the Rfam family "Bacterial small subunit ribosomal RNA", at positions 28 to 523 of the family's 1533-position model. The record is from RNAcentral.